RNAcentral lists this transfer RNA (75 nucleotides) under Candidatus Woesearchaeota archaeon. Its description in RNAcentral is "tRNA-Ala". It matches the Rfam family "tRNA". From Rfam's summary of the family: Transfer RNA (tRNA) molecules are approximately 80 nucleotides in length. Their secondary structure includes four short double-helical elements and three loops (D, anti-codon, and T loops). The record is from RNAcentral. Lineage: Archaea; Nanobdellati; Candidatus Woesearchaeota.
GGGCGGUUAGCUCAGCCUGGUCAGAGCGCUUCGCUGGCAGUGGAGAGGCCCCGAGUUCAAAUCUCGGCCCGUCCA